This 394-nucleotide ribosomal RNA is filed under the name uncultured bacterium. Its description in RNAcentral is "partial 16S ribosomal RNA". It matches the Rfam family "Bacterial small subunit ribosomal RNA", at positions 523 to 918 of the family's 1533-position model. The record is from RNAcentral.
CUACGUAGGGAGCGAGCGUUGUCCGGAAUUACUGGGCGUAAAGGGCGCGUAGGCGGCGCUUCAAGUCGUCUGUCAAAUGGGAGGGCUUAACCCUUUUUCGCAGACGAAACUGGAGAGCUUGAGAAGCAGAGAGGCAAACAGAAUUCCUGGUGUAGCGGUGAAAUGCGUAGAUAUCAGGAAGAAUACCAGUGGCGAAGGCGGUUUGCUGGCUGCAUACUGACGCUGAAGCGCGAAAGCCAGGGGAGCAAACGGGAUUAGAUACCCCGGUAGUCCUGGCAGUAAACGAUGUAUGCUGGGUGUGAGACUAGCGAUAGUUUCGUGCCGAAGUUAACGCGAUAAGCAUACCGCCUGGGGAGUACGGUCGCAAGAUUGAAACUCAAAGGAAUUGGCGGGG